GAUGAACGCUGGCGGCGUGCCUAACACAUGCAAGUCGAACGAAGCUUGACGGAUGAUUUCUUCGGAAUGAAACCAGAUAUGACUUAGUGGCGGACGGGUGAGUAACACGUGAGCAACCUGCCUUUCAGAGGGGGAUAACGGCUGGAAACGGUCGCUAAUACCGCAUGAUGUGUUCGGAUGGCAUCAUCUGAACAUCAAAGAUUUAUCGCUGAAAGAUGGGCUCGCGUCUGAUUAGAUAGUUGGUGGGGUAACGGCCUACCAAGUCUACGAUCAGUAGCCGGACUGAGGGGUCGAACGGCCACAUCGGGACUGAGAUUCGGCGCAGACUACUACGGGAGGCAGCAGUGGGGAAUAUUGCACAAUUGGGGAAACCCUGAGGCAGCAACGCCGCGUGAAGCAUGACGGUUUUCGGAUUGUAAACGUCUUUCCUUAGUGACGCAGACAGUGACGGUAGCUAAGGAAUAAGCAUCGGCUAACUACGUG
RNAcentral lists this ribosomal RNA (483 nucleotides) under uncultured bacterium. RNAcentral's name for it is "partial 16S ribosomal RNA". It matches the Rfam family "Bacterial small subunit ribosomal RNA", at positions 28 to 507 of the family's 1533-position model. The record is from RNAcentral.